RNAcentral lists this ribosomal RNA (292 nucleotides) under uncultured bacterium. RNAcentral's name for it is "partial 16S ribosomal RNA". It matches the Rfam family "Bacterial small subunit ribosomal RNA", at positions 505 to 796 of the family's 1533-position model. The record is from RNAcentral.
GUGCCAGCAGCCGCGGUAAUACGGAGGAUCCAAGCGUUAUCCGGAUUUAUUGGGUUUAAAGGGUGCGUAGGCGGAAUAGUAAGUCAGUGGUGAAAGCCUGCAGCUUAACUGUAGAAUUGCCAUUGAUACUGCUAAUCUUGAGUACAUAUGAAGUGGGCGGAAUGUGUCAUGUAGCGGUGAAAUGCUUAGAUAUGACACAGAACACCGAUUGCGAAGGCAGCUCACUAAACUGUAACUGACGCUGAGGCACGAAAGCAUGGGGAGCAAACAGGAUUAGAAACCCUCGUAGUCC